AAGAUUCUUCGGAUGAUUCUUAACUGACUGAGCGGCGGACGGGUGAGUAACGCGUGGGUGACCUGCCCCAUACCGGGGGAUAACAGCUGGAAACGGCUGCUAAUACCGCAUAAGCGCACGGUAUCGCAUGAUACAGUGGGAAAAACUCCGGUGGUAUGAGAUGGACCCGCGUCUGAUUAGCUAGUUGGUAAGGUAACGGCUUACCAAGGCGACGAUCAGUAGCCGACCUGAGAGGGUGACCGGCCACAUUGGGACUGAGAUACGGCCCAGACUCC
Molecule: ribosomal RNA, 275 nt
Filed under: uncultured Lachnospiraceae bacterium
Lineage: Bacteria; Bacillati; Bacillota; Clostridia; Lachnospirales; Lachnospiraceae
Description: partial 16S ribosomal RNA
Rfam family: Bacterial small subunit ribosomal RNA
Source: RNAcentral